UGUGUUUUGAAUUCAGGGGAUCUCGUAUUAAACACGGCAGCUUUUUGCACAUGUGUUUGUACAUAGAAACCUACGGCAGCUGUUUAGUGAGCUCGGUGGUUGGUCUGGGGAAAAAGAGUUGACAUUUUGUUUCUCUAAGAUGUGGAUUUGGACAAGAUUUGUGGAUGUUAUUCCUAAAGGCCAGGCACUUCACAAAACGGACGCCACGUCACGAGGUCCGUCACCCAGAGGGGCGAUGCUCCCGCCAGCAAAGGUCACUCGGAGAAGGUGUCGGGGAAAACCUUGCAGAGGCAAGGCAAGUCGCGUCAGUCACACGUCCAAGAUGAGGAGAGAUACGAACGGCAG
Asterias rubens (European starfish) is the source of this 345-nucleotide long non-coding RNA. RefSeq lists it as uncharacterized. The transcript has 2 exons. The record is from RefSeq and is a predicted model, not a curated record. NCBI's taxonomy places the organism in Eukaryota, Metazoa, Echinodermata, Asteroidea, Forcipulatida, Asteriidae.